ACUCCUACGGGAGGCAGCAGUGGGAAUAUUGCACAAUGGGGAACCGAGCUGNAGCCAUGCCGCGUGUGUGAAGAAGGCCUUCGGGUUGUAAAGCACUUUCAGUAGGGAGGAAGGUAGUGUAGUUAACACCUGCAUUAUUUGACGUUACCUACAGAAGAAGCACCGGCUAACUCCGUGCCAGCAGCCGCGGUAAUACGGAGGGUGCGAGCGUUAAUCGGAAUUACUGGGCGUAAAGCGCAUGCAGGCGGCCUGUUAAGUCAGAUGUG
This 266-nucleotide ribosomal RNA is filed under the name uncultured bacterium. Its description in RNAcentral is "partial 16S ribosomal RNA". It matches the Rfam family "Bacterial small subunit ribosomal RNA", at positions 335 to 596 of the family's 1533-position model. The record is from RNAcentral.